This 538-nucleotide ribosomal RNA is filed under the name uncultured bacterium. RNAcentral describes it as "bacterial SSU rRNA". It matches the Rfam family "Bacterial small subunit ribosomal RNA", at positions 355 to 895 of the family's 1533-position model. The record is from RNAcentral.
UGAGGAAUAUUGGUCAAUGGACGGAAGUCUGAACCAGCCAAGUAGCGUGCAGGAUGACGGCCCUAUGGGUUGUAAACUGCUUUUGUAUGGGGAUAAAGUUAGGGACGUGUCCCUAUUUGCAGGUACCAUACGAAUAAGGACCGGCUAAUUCCGUGCCAGCAGCCGCGGUAAUACGGAAGGUCCAGGCGUUAUCCGGAUUUAUUGGGUUUAAAGGGAGCGUAGGCUGGAGAUUAAGUGUGUUGUGAAAUGUAGACGCUCAACGUCUGAAUUGCAGCGCAUACUGGUUUCCUUGAGUACGCACAACGUUGGCGGAAUUCGUCGUGUAGCGGUGAAAUGCUUAGAUAUGACGAAGAACUCCGAUUGCGAAGGCAGCUGACGGGAGCGCAACUGACGCUUAAGCUCGAAGGUGCGGGUAUCAAACAGGAUUAGAUACCCUGGUAGUCCGCACAGUAAACGAUGGAUGCCCGCUGUUGGUACCUGGUAUCAGCGGCUAAGCGAAAGCAUUAAGCAUNNNCCUGGGGAGUACNCCGGNNACGGU